ACGGGUUUCGCGAUAUGCGAACAAUAAAUUGCAAAAACUGUUCGUUGUCGAUGAAACCUGCCU
Molecule: microRNA precursor, 63 nt
Filed under: Nautilus pompilius
Lineage: Eukaryota; Metazoa; Mollusca; Cephalopoda; Nautilida; Nautilidae
Description: Npo-Mir-76_pre stem-loop
Source: RNAcentral